GCCCUGAGCAAAGCCGAUCUACAGGAGCAGGCGGAAGUCAACCCUGAGCACUUUCAUCAACACUAUAGCCAGACUUCUGCAUAUCCACAAGCGGUACCCGUUAAACAACAUCAGGAAGCAGAGAAGCCACAAAGGUCAUGCGAAGAGGUGCAGGCGAGCAGGAAGAAGGAGACUGAGCGAGAGCUGAGCGAGUGCGUGUCCGUGCUGGAGAGCAGCCUGCAGAGCGCUCUGUCCGCCAUCCUGGAGGAAGAGAUGAAGGCAGCGUUUGGAGAGCUGUGGCUAGAGACGUGUCAGUGGAGCGGAACUCUGUUCUGAACGCGGUUUCCAUGGCCGAGGAGCUUCUACAUCGCUGCGCUGCAGGUCUCCAUACAGCGGCCAUGUAGACUCGGCCCUCUCCUGCCUCAAGACCUUACAGCAGAGACUGCAGCCUCAGAAAUCCCCAGUAGAUGACAGAAGUGGUGACACUCUAAUGGCCGAUGCUGUUCAGGAUGUAGCUCCGCCUCUGCAUGCUUCUCAUCAGGAAGUGUGGGCUUUGUUCGAGAGCAUCUGGAACAAUGUGUGCCAUGUCAGCUCGGCUGUGUUCUCAGCACUGCACUUCUCUCCAGGCUCAGCGGGUUCAGUAGAGCCACGCUCCACGCCGCCUCCCCAGGAUGCCCUCAGCUGCCUUCACAGGCUCAAUACUGCUCUUGAGCAGCUGCUGGAGGCCUUUCAGAGAUCGCUUCCAUGGAACCACACUUCACUGCCAAGGACCUGUUUGAGUGCCUGUCUCACCAGGAGUACAGGUUACUUACAUGAGCACACACACCCCUUUUUUUUUUUUUUUUUUUUGCACCGUUGGACACUGUCGUUUCAGUGAAAGGCACAUCAAUGUUCUGUCCAAACCUCAAUUCCUCUAAGUGCUGAUGCAAACGCACAUAUUUCGUAGGCAUGUGGGCAUUGAAUGAGUGAGCGGAGUUCUUCAACUUUCCUGUCUGUAAUUUCCCAUAAACUAUAGCAUGAUCUGAAUUCCCGGAAGGCCAUGUAACAUUUCAGUUUGUUCAGAUGAUCAGGAUUAUUAGGGGUUUGUUGUAAAUAUAAUACUUCUCAGCAUUGAGUUCCAGGUUCCAGAGGAGGAUGUUAGCUAAGAUGGCGUCUAUCAUGAGCAAAUCCUCUCACCCUGUAUGAGAUACUGGGGUCCCUGAGCAGCUCCUUCAGCAGACUGCUGCACCCUCAGUGCAAGAAAGAGCACUAUCGCAGGGAGAAGCUCUGUAUAGGAGGAGCGCAGCUGAUGGAACUGAGAGAGAACCUGCACCGCUGUGCAGCCGCUGUGUGUGGUACGAAUACCUACCAUCAGCAAAUGGCUUCGCACUGACAACAACGUAAUCACGUCGCAGUUGAUCUGGCCGAGCCAGGUACUUAUUAUUCAGCUGGCUAAUACUGAAUAAUAAUUCAAUAUUUACAUGCAAGAUGUGAACCAAAACCUCAUGAUCUGAUGGCAUACUUCUGGUUAUGUUCGUUUGGGUACUUGAGGACCAGAUCUUAGCAUUAAAUCUGAUCUCUACACCUAAUAAAUGCUGCUAGUUGUGUAUGAGCUAGUAAAUUGCAGAAAAAUUGGUAUUGUUUGGGGGGUUUUUUCCUCCCAAGUAUAUGACCAUUCUGCUGUGAAUGCAGGAUGUUUUUUGGUUGUUUUAAAUGUUUUUGUCAAUAGGCUCAGGAACCUACCUCAGAAUAAAUAAGGUGCUGAACACAGCCAUGUCUAGAGCCUAAAAACCUUAAACUUAGCCAAUAAUAAUUAAUUAUUCAAAUCUACUGGGGAACAUUCAUUCAUUCUUUUAUGUUGCCUGGUGAGCGUUUAGCAUUUGUUGAGAACGGGUUAUUUUUUUUAUGACAAAUGCAUUUUAUAUUGAUUUAAAAAACGCUGUCAGUAAAUAUAUAUUUAUUCCUGAGUCAUUUGUGUCAUGUCAUGUCACGUUCUCGGCGUUUCCGUACCCCUUCCGUUUGAGGAAGUCAUUAUUGCCGGUCAUUGGCGACUCAGACACCGCACUGCCAGCUCUAACAGGAUCAGGACGGGAAGCGGAAGACGACACAGACUCUCGUUAACACAGCUAAGAUCUCUGACGCAACUGCAAGUCGAGGUCAUGACAGGAUUUGGCUUUGUGUGUUUUGUUGUAGGCAGAUCGCACUCAGAGCAAGAGUCGGGCAAUGAAAGAACUUGAACUGUAAUGUUUCGAAUGUAAAUAACAUGAGUGACUGCAUGGGUUUACAGUGUAAAUUCAGAACUUAGAAAUUCUAUUGAAAAUGUCUGCCUGAGUGGGAGCCCUAAUUCUAAAAAUGUUCAUUUUUCAAUAAGUUACUCAUGACAAUAAGCAGAAAACGAAUAGAUAUAAAAGAAUAACCUACACUAUGAUAUUUGAGCACAUUUUUUUCCCAAAAAAAUGUUUUUCUACCAAAAAAAAAGGCUAAAUAUAGAUUUUGUGUAACCUUGAUAUCAUAUGGAAGAACGUUUGGCUCAUAACGUUGAAAGCUCUGUGUACAGCCGAAUCGGAACCUCCUGGCAGAGGCAAACAGGCUGAAAUAUCCAGAUCCUUAGAAAUGUACUGUACAGGUGCAUCUCUAAAAAUUCCAAUAUCGUGGAAAAGUCUUACCCCCCCCAUAAUUUACUUAAAAAAGCGGAACUCUCAUAUAUUUAAAGCUUCAUUACACAUUGUUUUAAAUCUCGAUGAUUACAGCUUACAGCUCAUGGAAAUCAAAAAUCCAGUAUCUCAAAAUGCUAGAACGAACCCCCAUCCCCAAAACAUCCCUGAAGAGUCACUGGUCCACCUUAACGUUUACAGAGAACCAGAUGAUUUUCCUCCUACGCCGUCCCCGUUUGUCUGCAAACAUGCUGCAUGGGCAAAAAUCUUCGAUGGUUUCCUCUGUUGUGAAGCUCUCAGUUUAGGUUCUUCAUUUUAAGUGAUGCUCACAGGGAGUCUUUUUUUAUGUUCUCUCCAAACAGCUUGUUCGUGACCUUUAGAAUAUUUUCCCUUCCUGGCAAAGUUACAGCCGUUUCAGACACACAUACGUUUUUAUUAUUGCCCUAACUGUGUAUUUGUUCAGGUUAGUACACCCUUUGGACUCAUGAGCAACCCUGUCGUCGUACGUAGCCAAAAUAAUAGCUCACCAAAUACUUUGUGCUGGAUCCAGAUGUUUAUCGCAGCAAAUUCUGGAAAUACACGAGUAGUGACCCGAGUUGAACAUUUGACUCAUUACCUGGUUAUUUAGUGACAUCGGCGUGGCUCAUGACCAUUGGCACUCGGUCUCGGAAAUGUCCUCUUAGACUCCGGGGGUUAAAAGGAUUUGACACGGUGGCCCAAUUCCUGAGAGAGUGACGCGUGUGCGUCAACGCCGCUUACAGAGGGUUAAUACUACUGAAUGAGUGGAACGUAGGAGGAGGGAUAUGUGCGUCUGACUAAUACCAACCAGGGAUAUGUAAGCACACACUGACUGAAGUACUGAAGAAGCUAAUUUUACAGCUAACUUAACAUCCUUUAAAUUAAACUUUGCAUAGUUUAAUUGAAUCCUUACGUGAUGAGUCUCAUACCACGGUUACAAAUUAAAAACCAUGAGAAACAACAUUUCUAAAUAAGACCAUUUUUAGGGCUGUUGCCUUCUUCAUCAUGGGGGAAAGAAAAUAACAAGACACUCCAGUUUCCAAUUAAGAGACCGGAUACACAAACCAGAUUAGUGUAAUCUCCCACCACUAUUCCACUCAGGAGCCAGAGUGCACAUUAAAAGGGGUUUGAUUUAGUGAUAGACUUCUCCAGCAUCGCAAUCGUUAUCUCCCCACACAUUAAAACACGUAAUCGUCCGUGUCAACAGCCGGGUCAUAAACAAAAAAACAAACAAAAAGACACGAGAACAGUUUGAGGCUGAAGUGAUCUAUUUGUUAAGAAAUAUCAGCUUGUAACAAGUGGUAUACAGGAUCUCAGCCACCAUUUCAGUUUCAUGUGAAAACAAAAACACAUUGAAGAACUAUGUACCUGAAAUUCCUAACACAGAAGAUAUUAGACAUUGAAAUAAAAUAAAAUAAAAGUCAUGAGUUAGUCCAAAUGCAGAUUUUAGCUAGCAGAAAUGUUGUGUGUGUGUGUGCGUGCGCACUCGUGUGUAUACUUGUAUAACUAAACUGGCACUGAUUUAAGGUUCAUGUGCGUCUGCUUAGCUCGUCUAUCAACCAGCAGUGUAUCAAAAAUAUAAAAAGGCCAUCGUUACUGAUUGGUAAACCCAAUCCUGCAUAACGGUUAAUGCGAAAAGAUGAGCUAUGCAAGUGAUCGUUUGUUGAAUAAGGCUUUUAUGUAACCACAUGUAUGCUAAUACUAUUUUUAAAAAAAAAUAAAAAUAAAAAAGCACUAAACUGAAAUCCAGCUAAAUCAUUUAAUCCUGCCAGUGCCUUCCUGGAAAACCUUUCCUAACUUAAUUAUCCACUCAAAAGGUACAAUCAAUGAAUGUGCAGUAAAGAUUGGCAAAUUAAAAAAACAAAAAACAAAA
Molecule: long non-coding RNA, 4503 nt
Organism: Ictalurus punctatus (channel catfish)
Lineage: Eukaryota; Metazoa; Chordata; Actinopteri; Siluriformes; Ictaluridae
Exons: 7
Source: RefSeq, a predicted model, not a curated record